RNAcentral lists this ribosomal RNA (253 nucleotides) under uncultured bacterium. RNAcentral's name for it is "partial 16S ribosomal RNA". It matches the Rfam family "Bacterial small subunit ribosomal RNA", at positions 524 to 776 of the family's 1533-position model. The record is from RNAcentral.
GACGAAGGAUCCAAGCGUUAUCCGGAUUUAUUGGGUUUAAAGGGUGCGUAGGCGGAUUGAUAAGUCAGUGGUGAAAGCCUGAUGCUUAACAUCAGAACUGCCAUUGAUACUGUCAAUCUUGAAUAUGGUUGAUGUGGGCGGAAUAUGACAUGUAGCGGUGAAAUGCUUAGAUAUGUCAUAGAACACCGAUUGCGAAGGCAGCUCACAAAGCCAUUAUUGACGCUGAGGCACGAAAGCGUGGGGAUCAAACAGG